RNAcentral lists this ribosomal RNA (563 nucleotides) under uncultured Glomus. Its description in RNAcentral is "SSU rRNA". It matches the Rfam family "Eukaryotic small subunit ribosomal RNA", at positions 548 to 1114 of the family's 1831-position model. Lineage: Eukaryota; Fungi; Glomeromycota; Glomeromycetes; Glomerales; Glomeraceae. The record is from RNAcentral.
UUGGAGGGCAAGUCUGGUGCCAGCAGCCGCGGUAAUUCCAGCUCCAAUAGCGUAUAUUAAAGUUGUUGCAGUUAAAAAGCUCGUAGUUGAAUUUCGGGAUUAGUGCGCCGGUCGUGCCUUCGGUAUGUACUGGUGUUACUGGUUCCUACCUUCUGACGAACCGUCAUGUCAUUAAUUUGGUGUGGCGGGGAAUCAGGACUGUUACUUUGAAAAAAUUAGAGUGUUUAAAGCAGGCUCGCGCUUGAAUACAUUAGCAUGGAAUAAUGAAAUAGGACGUUCGAUCCUAUUUUGUUGGUUUCUAGGAUUGACGUAAUGAUUAAUAGGGAUAGUUGGGGGCAUUAGUAUUCAAUUGUCAGAGGUGAAAUUCUUGGAUUUAUUGAAGACUAACUACUGCGAAAGCAUUUGCCAAGGAUGUUUUCAUUAAUCAAGAACGAAAGUUAGGGGAUCGAAGACGAUCAGAUACCGUCGUAGUCUUAACCAUAAACUAUGCCGACUAGGGAUCGGAUGAUGUUAUUUUUAAUGACUCAUUCGGCGCCUUACGGGAAACCAAAGUGUUUGGGUUC